AUGCGCGCCCCAUCACUCGGACGCUGCGCCACCGUGGCACUCGUCCUGCUCCUCGCCACAAUAGCGGCUGCGGCCGCGGCAGCACGGACGAAGAACGAAUGCCACGCCGGCGACAAGGCCGCGCUGCUGGCCAUCAAGGCAGGCUUCGGCAACGCCUCCUACUUCCAGUCAUGGACUCCGGACUACCCCUGCUGCGAGUGGAUCAGCGUCUUCUGCGACCUCUCCGCCUCCCCCUACACCUUACGCCGCGUGGUGGCCGUCUCCUUCCUCCGCGACGCCAGCCUCGUCGGGCCCUUGCCCGGCGCCUCCGUCGCCCGCCUCACCGCGCUGCAGCAGCUCAUCCUCAUCCACGUGCCGGGCGUGAACGGCACUAUCCCGCGCGACCUCGCCCGGCUUUCCAACCUCAACUUCGUCGACGUCUCCUACACGGGCAUCUCCGGCCCCGUGCCCUCGUUCCUGUCGAGGCUCACCAAGCUCACCUACCUCAGGCUCUCCUUCAACUCGCUCACGGGCCCCAUCCCGGCGUCGCUCGCCGACGUCCCCAACCUCUCCUUCCUCGACCUCGCCGGCAACCGCCUCACGGGAACCAUACCGCCUCUCCUCCUCAGCAGGACCAACGACACGGCCUACCUCAGCCUCUCCCAUAACAACCUCACCGGCGGCGUCCCCGCCGACUUCGCCGCCGUGAGGUUCUCGAGCCUCGACUUGUCGCACAACGCCCUCGCCGGCGAGGCCUUGCUCCUGUUCGGCCUGAACAAGUCGCUGGAGAGCCUGGACCUGUCGCGCAAUGCCUUCAGCUUCAACCUCUCUGCCGUGACGCUGCCAUCGCAGCUCGGCAUGUUGGACAUCAGCCACGACGACGUCUACGGUGCGCUCCCCCCGUUGGUGGCCAAACUGCAGUAUUUGAACGUCAGCUACAACCGCCUCAGCGGCAGAGUGCCCAUCGGCGGCAACAUGGAUCGGUUUGAUCGGUACUGCUUCCAGCACAACAAGGGACUCUGUGGGACUCCACUUCCACCCUGCAAGUGA
Molecule: ribosomal RNA, 1029 nt
Filed under: Triticum aestivum (bread wheat)
Lineage: Eukaryota; Viridiplantae; Streptophyta; Magnoliopsida; Poales; Poaceae
Description: partial small subunit ribosomal RNA
Source: RNAcentral